AAAGGUACUACACACUAAAAAAUGUGGAGCACCAGCCUGGCAUGCAUGAGGCCCUGAGUUCACUUCGCAAACCACAAAAGAAACUCCGCUACUUAAAGAGAAA
Long non-coding RNA from Dipodomys spectabilis (banner-tailed kangaroo rat), 103 nucleotides. RefSeq lists it as uncharacterized. The record is from RefSeq and is a predicted model, not a curated record. Lineage: Eukaryota; Metazoa; Chordata; Mammalia; Rodentia; Heteromyidae. The transcript is spliced from 3 exons.